RNAcentral lists this ribosomal RNA (586 nucleotides) under uncultured bacterium. RNAcentral describes it as "bacterial SSU rRNA". It matches the Rfam family "Bacterial small subunit ribosomal RNA", at positions 65 to 640 of the family's 1533-position model. The record is from RNAcentral.
AGUUAACUGAACCUUCGGGGGACGUUAACGGCGUCGAGCGGCGGACGGGUUAGUAAUGCCUAGGAAAUUGCCCUGAUGUGGGGGAUAACCAUUGGAAACGAUGGCUAAUACCGCAUAAUCUCUUCGGAGCAAAGAGGGGGACCUUCGGGCCUCUCGCGUCAGGAUAUGCCUAGGUGGGAUUAGCUAGUUGGUGAGGUAAUGGCUCACCAAGGCGACGAUCCCUAGCUGGUCUGAGAGGAUGAUCAGCCACACUGGAACUGAGACACGGUCCAGACUCCUACGGGAGGCAGCAGUGGGGAAUAUUGCACAAUGGGCGCAAGCCUGAUGCAGCCAUGCCGCGUGUAUGAAGAAGGCCUUCGGGUUGUAAAGUACUUUCAGCAGUGAGGAAGGUUCAUGCGUUAAUAGCGUAUGGAUUUGACGUUAGCUGCAGAAGAAGCACCGGCUAACUCCGUGCCAGCAGCCGCGGUAAUACGGAGGGUGCGAGCGUUAAUCGGAAUUACUGGGCGUAAAGCGCAUGCAGGUGGUUUGUUAAGUCAGAUGUGAAAGCCCGGGGCUCAACCUCGGAAUUGCAUUUGAAACUGGCAGA